GCGAGGAAUAUUGCACAAUGGACGCAAGUCUGAUGCAGUAACGCCGCGUGGGGGAAGAAGACCUUCGGGUUGUAAACCUCUUUUAUAUAGGACGAGUGAGGACGGUACUAUAGGAAUAAGUCUCGGCUAACUACGUGCCAGCAGCCGCGGUAAGACGUAGGAGGCGAGCGUUAUCCGGAUUCACUGGGCGUAAAGCGCAUGUAGGCGGUUCGAUAAGUCCGCUGUUAAAGCCCCCGGCUCAACUGGGGGAGGUCAGUGGAGACUAUAGGACUUGAGGGCAACAGAGGCACGUGGAACUCCCGGUGUAGCGGUGGAAUGCGUAGAGAUCGGGAAGAACACCAGUGGCGAAGGCGACGUGCUGGGUUGCGACUGACGCUGAGAUGCGAAAGUGUGGGGAGCAAACGGGAUUAGAAACCCGGGUAGUCC
RNAcentral lists this ribosomal RNA (426 nucleotides) under uncultured bacterium. Its description in RNAcentral is "bacterial SSU rRNA". It matches the Rfam family "Bacterial small subunit ribosomal RNA", at positions 354 to 796 of the family's 1533-position model. The record is from RNAcentral.